Molecule: long non-coding RNA, 3145 nt
Organism: Scylla paramamosain (green mud crab)
Lineage: Eukaryota; Metazoa; Arthropoda; Malacostraca; Decapoda; Portunidae
Exons: 2
Source: RefSeq, a predicted model, not a curated record
CAUCCUUCAGCGGCCUGGAAUGCGCGCACCUAAAUCAGCGUGAGUGGACAUCGGUGGGCUGCGGGGAAAGUUGCUAGAGGCUUGCUGCAGGAGGGCGGAAGGGAUGAGGGGCGCGGGGUAGUGGUGAGAAAGAAAGGAGUGUAGGCAUGAUGAGUUUGGUUGUAAAAUUGUGAAAAGAAAGAAAGGAAUACGGAUAAUGAAAUAUUAGUUAAAACAAAAAUAGAAAAAAAUGAAUAAAAAGGUACAAGGAUGAAAAAUAACGAAAUCUGAAAAAAAAAGGAAGCAAAUGUGGAAAAAUGGAAUAGCACUGUGAGUGAAGCAUGACAGUGAUUCCCCGCGUGGUAAUUCGCAUUAAUUAGUGGAAGGUGUUACACAAUUCUGUCUAAAACACGUCUGCUUGGAAAAAAUACAUAUUCUCUCUCUCUCUCUCUCUCUCUCUCUCUCUCUCUCUCUCUCUCUCUCUCUCUCUCUCUCUCUCUCUCUCUCUCUCUCUCUCUCUCUCUCUCUCUCUCUCUCUCUCUCUCUCUCCUGCGUGGCCAGAUAAGCUGUAGCCAGUAUCACUUUACUAAAACACUUGUUACGCAGCCUGGAAUGUUCAGGAGCUCAUCACGAGGCAACACAACUAGCGAGGCAAGGAGAGAGGCAAGGACGGACAGACCAGACGGACGGACGAACGGAGGGAGGGAGGGAGGGAGGGAGGGAGGGAGUCUGGUGUGUAAUAGGCUGAUGUACUAUUCAUGCCUAGACGCUCGGGGACUGCUCCUGCUGUUGCCGUGAAAUUCUCCGCCACACCAAUAUUAUUACCCCAAUAUGACCCCCUUCAAUUAUGUUGUUGUUGUUAUUGUUGUUGUUCUCUCUGUGUGUGUGUGUGUGUGUGUGUGUGUGUGUGUGUGUGUGUGUGUGUGUGUGUGUGUUUCAUAACAAUUUGACAUGGCAGGAUGCAAAACGUUUCUCAGUAAUGAGCGUGUUCACAUCCUUCUUCCCGCCACGAAAAAAAUAGAACACCUAAGACGCCACGGCAGUGAGAGAGAGAGAGAGAGAGAGAGAGAGAGAGAGAGAGAGAGAGAGAGAGAGAGAGAGAGAGAGAGAGCACUUCUACGUUCUCAUGUCGUCAUGUUGCACAAGUUAUUCAAGAGUGGCAUUCACUAAUUCACCAGCACGACCUGUCAGUACACCGAGCACACGCUUCCUGGAAAAUGCUGCAAAUCCUUCCCAUGAUACUACGUGUUUAUGAAAAGCAAUGCUUCUCAUCAGCAGCAGCCCCUUGCUUUCAGAUUCAUGGGGUGAGUUUGCAUUAACUGCUUCUCCCGAGCGGACGUGUUUCCAUUACUUCAUAUCUAACUCAAGCAGUCUCCACCAAUAUGUUAACACUUUGCCUAAUUUGUGGUUCAUGUUCCUUCAUUACUUUCAUCGAGCAACUGUCGCCACACAGUGAAAUGCUCUCGUCGUUAAAUGCAAGGUUUUCAUUACAUUUCACAUUAUUCUAACCUUUAACAGAGAGAGAGAGAGAGAGAGAGAGAGAGAGAGAGAGAAAAAGAGAGAGAGAAUGAUGAAGCGAAUAGCUUUGCCUUGAGCUUGUUCAACACUGCCGCGUGGCUGGCUGGCUGUGUUGUGUGAUCCGUGUAUGUAUUAGCGCGUCUGGCGCGACACGUUUCGCUUAUAUACUAGUUUAUAGCCGUGCCUGUGACUGCAGGAGGUCCACGCCACACGCCGUGUUCGUUUGUAUAUGAAACUGCAAUGGUUUAGUUUUUACGAGCACAUCAAAGAGCCGCACGUCUCAUUAAGUGUUUUUACAGCGGACCGCUUGCAAGGGAGGAUUGCUUGUUUACAGCAAGUAAUUUAAUUAAAGAUUCAUGUUAUACCUUCACUGUUUUAAUUAAAUCAUGGUCAUAAGAGUUGAGGGUAAUGAGCAGCAUGUACGUAGCUCUUUGUGUGACGCUCGGUGAGACAUGCAACACUGUCUGUCUGUCGGUCUGUCUGUCUGUCGGUAGUGGGAGUUAACACGAUACUUGGGAACACUGCGCCGACUCCUUAAGCAGUCAAGGCCUAAGUGAAACACGGGAUUCAUUGUCCGAAGCACCAACGACACGAGAUGGCAACCCAAACACACACACACACACACACACACACGUGGUAAUGGCUCUCCCGCCCACCUCAUCUCAGCAAAUGUUUGUUGGCAGUUUUCCACAUUAAUAGGCCGCAAUUUUCCUUAAGUAAAGUCGUCUUGGUCUCGUUCGGAGUAAAUUACCAUCAUCACAGUAGUUUGUAGUUUAUUUUUUCAUCCAACACUCUCAGACUUCCCCACACGUCAUAUUGGCAAUUCUCUCCUUCCCCCACCAUUCUCUCUCUCUCUCUCUCUCUCUGCCGUCAACCACAACGUGCACACCUUCCCUCCUCUCCUCACCUCAGACUCUGUUGACUGAUAACUAACGUGCUUAAUUUCCCAUUGGUUUGUACCGGAACUCCGCCAGUCCCUACGCACCACAGAUGACAACUCUGCUAACGCCUGUCAGCCUCCAGUGAUCCCUCGUUACAAACUUUUCUGGACCCUGACCGGAGGAGGCAAUGAGUGUUGUUCUGUCUGCCUGCCUGGCCGUGAAUAGGCUAGUGAGUUGCCCGCUAGGUAUCCUUACAGACCUCAGACCUUGCCGUAUUGCUCGAAAUUAAACCAAGUACUGCUAGUUAAUUCAGACGGGUCGCAAUUACUAUGGACUCGUGGAAGACCAAAGCUUUUCCGCUCGAAUCAAGGUCUUAACGAAGGCGAUGAAACACCUCCACCGAACCCAAGUGAAGGCGAGCAGACGGAGUGGCGGGCAGGAGUGGUGGGUCAGUGGCUUCUUACCUUGACCUCCGUGAACACAGUGGAGAGCCUGUGAGCUGCAAACACCACAACUUCACGGCGCCUUUGUCCCCCCUCGCCUGGCUGGUUGUCUUGCAUCUCUCCGACACUCCAAUUCGUGACUCAGCCUCCACUCGUCCGUGAAUCCCCGAUGCACCCUCACCACCACUACCUUUAUCAUCACCGCCCCUUCAAUAGAUUGGCUUCUGAGGGCAGCUCCAUUGUCCCUAACCCCUCUCUGUCCGGAUUACGUUGCGUCUAUUUUUGUUUGUAAUGAUUUAUUUCUAUGUGUUUGUUCUGUCAUUG